CGUGCCAGCAGCCGCGGUAAGACGUAGGACGCGAGCGUUAUCCGGAUUUACUGGGCGUAAAGCGUGUGUAGGCGGCGUGACAAGUUGGGCGUGAAAGCCCCGUGCUCAACGCGGGGAGGCCGCACAAUACUGUCAGGCUAGAGGGCAUCAGAGGGGUGUGGAAUUCCCGGAGUAGCGGUAAAAUGCGCAGAUAUCGGGAGGAACACCGGUGGCGAAAGCGGCACCCUGGGGUGCACCUGACGCUGAGAGACGACAGCUAGGGGAGCGAACAGGAUUAGAGACCCUGGUAGUCCUAGCCGUAAACGAUGGAUGCUAGGUGUGGGAGUGAAGAACUUCUGUGCCGCAGCGAACGCGAUAAGCAUCCCGCCUGGGGAGUACGGCCGCAAGGUUAAAACUCAAACGAAUUGACGGGGACCCGCACAAGCAGCGGAGCGUGUGGUUUAAUUCGAUGCUACACGAAGAACCUUACCUGGGAUUGACAUAUGGGUGGUAGUGAGCCGAAAGGCAAGCGACCCUUCGGGGAGCCUAUACAGGUGCUGCAUGGCUGUCGUCAGCUCGUGCCGUGAGGUGUCGGGUUAAGUCCCGUAACGAGCGCAACCCCUGUCCUUAGUUACAAGUGUCUAAGGGGACUGCCGGCGGGAAGCCGGAGGAAGGUGGGGAUGACGUCAAGUCAGCAUGGCCCUUAUAUCCAGGGCGACACACACGCUACAAUGGUCGGUACAGAGGGCAGCGAAGCCGCGAGGUGGAGCGAAACCCAGAAAGCCGGUCGUAGUUCGGAUUGCAGGCUGCAACUCGCCUGCAUGAAGUUG
Molecule: ribosomal RNA, 809 nt
Filed under: uncultured organism
Description: bacterial SSU rRNA
Rfam family: Bacterial small subunit ribosomal RNA
Source: RNAcentral